UACGAGGGAUGCAAGCGUUAUCCGGAAUUAUUGGGCGUAAAGCGUUUGUAGGCGGGCGAGUGUGUUUAAUGUUAAAUCUUAAAGCUCAACUUUGAAAUUGCGUUAAAAACUGCUUGUCUUGAGUAUGGUAGGGGUAAAGGGAAUUCCCAGUGUAGCGGUGAAAUGCGUAGAUAUUGGGAAGAACACUAAACAGCGAAGGCACUUUACUAGGCUAAUACUGACGCUGAGAAACGAAAGGUAAGGUAGCGAAACGGAUUAGAUACCCGUGUAGUCUUACCCGUAAACUAUGGACACUAAACGGUAAAUUUUUAAUUUACUGUUAAAGCUAACGCGUUAAGUGUCCCGCCUGGGGAGUAUGCUUGCAAAAGUGAAACUCAAAGGAAUUGACGGGGGCCCGCACAAGCGGUGGAGCAUGUGGUUUAAUUCGACGGUACACGAAGAACCUUACCAGGAUUUGACAUGCUAGAUAGUUGCUUGAAAGAGUAACGUGCCGUAAGGAAUCUAGACACAGGUGGUGCAUGGCUGUCGUCAGUUCGUGUUGUGAAAUGUUGGGUUAAGUCCCGCAACGAACGCAACCCUUGUCUUUAGUUAUUUUCUAAAGAGACUGCCUGUAAUAAACAGGAGGAAGGUAAGGAUGAGGUCAAGUCAUCAUGCCCCUUAUGUCCUGGGCUACACACGUGCUACAAUGGGAAAGACAAUGAGCUGCAAAUCUGUAAAUUUAAGCAAAUCUCUUAAACUUUCUCGUAGUUCAGAUUGUGGGCUGCAACUCGCCCACAUGAAGUUGGAAUCGCUAGUAAUCGCCAGUCAGCUAUAUGGCGGUGAAUCCGUUCCCGGGCCU
RNAcentral lists this ribosomal RNA (838 nucleotides) under uncultured bacterium. Its description in RNAcentral is "bacterial SSU rRNA". It matches the Rfam family "Bacterial small subunit ribosomal RNA", at positions 524 to 1381 of the family's 1533-position model. The record is from RNAcentral.